Molecule: long non-coding RNA, 662 nt
Filed under: Marmota monax (woodchuck)
Lineage: Eukaryota; Metazoa; Chordata; Mammalia; Rodentia; Sciuridae
Source: RNAcentral
AUGCCCGCAGCUCCAAAGGCAGUGGUCACUGUCUCCUGUCGCUUGGAUCCCUUGGUUGGGUUUGGGGCUAAAUGUCAGGGGUUCUUGGUGCCAACCUCGUUCUGCACCAUUUCCUCUCAGUCAGCCAGUCAGCCGUCCACGUGUACAAAUACUGUGCUGAGCAUUGUUCAUGUUCUGGGGACACAUGGUGAGCAUGACAGGAGCAACCCUGCACUCGAUGAACCCAGAGGCUAAGGGACCCAUCCAAGGGCAGCUUCAGGGUGUCCAGCCUGGGGCAAUGUGGGUGGACUGAGGGCUAGACCCACCACAAGGAAUCUUGUGGUGUCCUAGUCCAGACAAGCCAAGCUCUCUCCGUCCAAUGGCAGAGCCGGAGGUAGGCCAUAUAGAUGCUGUUGGCUUCCCACCCCAAACCAAGGACUUCAGCUUCAAGCUCCUGAACCUCUUGACCAGGAGGGUUACUCUGGCACUGUGAACAUGACUGGCACUUAUGUGACCUGAGUAGAUGCCCCAGGAGCAGCCUGCAAAUGACACUGAAGGUAAAUAUGAAGCUUCCUCCCCUCUCAGUGGGGCUCUUCUGACAGUGUUCCCCUGCUUCUCCUCCCAGUAGGAUGCCACUCCAGUGGCCCAGAGGGAUAACCUGCUCAUAAAUGUGUCUGUGUUGC